Molecule: long non-coding RNA, 455 nt
Organism: Nothoprocta perdicaria
Lineage: Eukaryota; Metazoa; Chordata; Aves; Tinamiformes; Tinamidae
Exons: 3
Source: RefSeq, a predicted model, not a curated record
GGCAGUUAGAAUUUGAAUUUGCACGUUAGCUAGCGCCUGUGAGACUAGUCUGGGAGUGUUUUGAUAAAAGGGAACACCAAUCCCACCUGUUACCUGUGUGUUGGAAACAUGAGGGUAAAGACAGAUCUGGACCAAACUCCAAGUACUGUGACAGCUACUGCUGCCCUUUGCUCUCUGAGCACUGCUGAAUCUGAGCAGAAAGAGGAGUUCAUAAGCACCAUAAGUGAAGUGGAGAACGAUGAGAAUGUGGCCUCCUUGAGAAGAUGACUGAAGCUGAAGGUGUGAAUGUCUCUGGAGACGCAAAGCUUAGUGAUGCUAUUUCUCUUGGAAUGGACCACGGAUUUGUAUUGGUUGAGGAAGAAGCAGCAGCAUGAAUGCACGUUUCAGCUAAAUGUAAGACUCUCCUCAUUAUGGGUGAGAAAGUGUUUUCUUUUUGCUUUCAUACCAUGUCAGAA